RNAcentral lists this ribosomal RNA (2904 nucleotides) under Proteus vulgaris. RNAcentral describes it as "23S ribosomal RNA". It matches the Rfam family "Bacterial large subunit ribosomal RNA". Lineage: Bacteria; Pseudomonadati; Pseudomonadota; Gammaproteobacteria; Enterobacterales; Morganellaceae. The record is from RNAcentral.
GGUUAAGCGAAUAAGCGUACACGGUGGAUGCCUAGGCAAUCAGAGGCGAUGAAGGACGUGCUAAUCUGCGAUAAGCGUCGGUAAGGUGAUAUGAACCGUUAUACCCGACGAUUUCCGAAUGGGGAAACCCAAUAUCCAAUGGAUAUUAUCAUGACGUGAAUACAUAGCGUCAUGAAGCGAACCGGGAGAACUGAAACAUCUCAGUACCCCGAGGAAAAGAAAUCAACCGAGAUUCCCCUAGUAGCGGCGAGCGAACGGGGAACAGCCCAGAGUCUUAAUCAACAGCAGCAUCAGGAGAACGGUCUGGAAAGUCCGGCAGUAAAGGGUGAUAGCCCCGUAUCUGAAGAUGCUGUUAUUGUGAACUCGACGAGUAGGGCGGGACACGUGUUAUCCUGUCUGAAUAUGGGGGGACCAUCCUCCAAGGCUAAAUACUCCUGAUUGACCGAUAGUGAACCAGUACCGUGAGGGAAAGGCGAAAAGAACCCCGGCGAGGGGAGUGAAAAAGAACCUGAAACCGUGUACGUACAAGCAGUAGGAGCCUCUUUAUGGGGUGACUGCGUACCUUUUGUAUAAUGGGUCAGCGACUUAUAUUCUGUAGCAAGGUUAACCGUAUAGGGGAGCCGUAGGGAAACCGAGUCUUAACUGGGCGAAUGAGUUGCAGGGUAUAGACCCGAAACCCGGUGAUCUAUCCAUGGGCAGGUUGAAGGUUGGGUAACACUAACUGGAGGACCGAACCGACUAAUGUUGAAAAAUUAGCGGAUGACUUGUGGAUGGGGGUGAAAGGCCAAUCAAACCGGGAGAUAGCUGGUUCUCCCCGAAAGCUAUUUAGGUAGCGCCUCGUGAACUCAUCUUCGGGGGUAGAGCACUGUUUCGACUAGGGGGUCAUCCCGACUUACCAACUCGAUGCAAACUGCGAAUACCGAAGAAUGUUAUCACGGGAGACACACGGCGGGUGCUAACGUCCGUCGUGAAGAGGGAAACAACCCAGACCGCCAGCUAAGGUCCCAAAGUCAUGGUUAAGUGGGAAACGAAGUGGGAAGGCUCAGACAGCCAGGAUGUUGGCUUAGAAGCAGCCAUCAUUUAAAGAAAGCGUAAUAGCUCACUGGUCGAGUCGGCCCGCGCGGAAGAUGUAACGGGGCUAAACCAUGCACCGAAGCUGCGGCAGCGACACUUAUGUGUUGUUGGGUAGGGGAGCGUUCUGUAAGCCUGCGAAGGUGUACUGUGAGGUAUGCUGGAGGUAUCAGAAGUGCGAAUGCUGACAUAAGUAACGAUAAUGCGGGUGAAAAACCCGCACGCCGGAAGACCAAGGGUUCCUGUCCAACGUUAAUCGGGGCAGGGUGAGUCGACCCCUAAGGCGAGGCUGAAAAGCGUAGUCGAUGGGAAACGGGUUAAUAUUCCCGUACUGGUGGUAACUGCGAUGGGGGAACGGAGAAGGCUAGGUUGUCCGGGCGACGGUCGUCCCGGUUCAAGCAUGUAGGCAGAGUGAUUAGGCAAAUCCGGUCACUUAAUGCUGAGGUGUGAUGACGAACCACUAAGGUGGUGAAGCAAUUGAUGCCCUGCUUCCAGGAAAAGCCUCUAAGCUUCAGGUUACCAACAAUCGUACCCCAAACCGACACAGGUGGUCAGGUAGAGAAUACUCAGGCGCUUGAGAGAACUCGGGUGAAGGAACUAGGCAAAAUGGUGCCGUAACUUCGGGAGAAGGCACGCUGGCGGUAAGUGAAGUCCCUUGCGGACGGAGCCGAAGCCAGUCGAAGAUACCAGCUGGCUGCAACUGUUUAUUAAAAACACAGCACUGUGCAAACACGAAAGUGGACGUAUACGGUGUGACGCCUGCCCGGUGCUGGAAGGUUAAUUGAUGGGGUUAUCCGUAAGGAGAAGCUCUUGAUCGAAGCCCCAGUAAACGGCGGCCGUAACUAUAACGGUCCUAAGGUAGCGAAAUUCCUUGUCGGGUAAGUUCCGACCUGCACGAAUGGCGUAAUGAUGGCCAGGCUGUCUCCACCCGAGACUCAGUGAAAUUGAACUCGCUGUGAAGAUGCAGUGUACCCGCGGCAAGACGGAAAGACCCCGUGAACCUUUACUAUAGCUUGACACUGAACAUUGAGCCUUGAUGUGUAGGAUAGGUGGGAGACUUUGAAGUGUGGACGCCAGUCUGCAUGGAGUCAACCUUGAAAUACCACCCUUUAACGUUUGAUGUUCUAACCUAGGUCCAUAAUCUGGAUCGGGGACCGUGUCUGGUGGGUAGUUUGACUGGGGCGGUCUCCUCCUAAAGAGUAACGGAGGAGCACGAAGGUUGGCUAAGCAUGGUCGGACAUCAUGCGGUUAGUGCAAAGGCAUAAGCCAGCUUGACUGUGAGAGUGACGGCUCGAGCAGGUACGAAAGUAGGUCUUAGUGAUCCGGUGGUUCUGAAUGGAAGGGCCAUCGCUCAACGGAUAAAAGGUACUCCGGGGAUAACAGGCUGAUACCGCCCAAGAGUUCAUAUCGACGGCGGUGUUUGGCACCUCGAUGUCGGCUCAUCACAUCCUGGGGCUGAAGUAGGUCCCAAGGGUAUGGCUGUUCGCCAUUUAAAGUGGUACGCGAGCUGGGUUUAGAACGUCGUGAGACAGUUCGGUCCCUAUCUGCCGUGGGCGUUGGAAGAUUGAGAGGGGUUGCUCCUAGUACGAGAGGACCGGAGUGAACGCACCACUGGUGUUCGGGUUGUCAUGCCAAUGGCAUUGCCCGGUAGCUAAGUGCGGAAGAGAUAACCGCUGAAAGCAUCUAAGCGGGAAACUUGCCUCGAGAUGAGUCUUCCCUGUCACCUUGAGUGACCUAAAGGAACGUUUAAGACUAAGACGUUGAUAGGCUGGGUGUGUAAGCGUAGCGAUACGUUGAGCUAACCAGUACUAAUGAACCGUGAGGCUUAACCUG